UACGGAGGGUGCGAGCGUUAAUCGGAAUUACUGGGCGUAAAGAGUGCGUAGGCGGUUAUUUAAGUCAGAUGUGAAAGCCCCGGGCUCAACUUGGGAACGGCAUUUGAUACUGAAUAACUGGAGUUUGGGAGAGGUAAGUGGAAUUUCAGGUGUAGCGGUGAAAUGCGUAGAUAUCUGAAGGAACACCAGUGGCGAAGGCGACUUACUGGCCUGAAACUGACGCUGAGGCACGAAAGCAUGGGUAGCAAACAGG
RNAcentral lists this ribosomal RNA (253 nucleotides) under uncultured bacterium. Its description in RNAcentral is "partial 16S ribosomal RNA". It matches the Rfam family "Bacterial small subunit ribosomal RNA", at positions 524 to 776 of the family's 1533-position model. The record is from RNAcentral.